Molecule: ribosomal RNA, 1453 nt
Filed under: Chryseobacterium formosense
Lineage: Bacteria; Pseudomonadati; Bacteroidota; Flavobacteriia; Flavobacteriales; Weeksellaceae
Description: bacterial SSU rRNA
Rfam family: Bacterial small subunit ribosomal RNA
Source: RNAcentral
UGGCUCAGGAUGAACGCUAGCGGGAGGCCUAACACAUGCAAGCCGAGCGGUAUUGUUUCUUCGGAAAUGAGAGAGCGGCGUACGGGUGCGGAACACGUGUGCAACCUGCCUUUAUCAGGGGGAUAGCCUUUCGAAAGGAAGAUUAAUACCCCAUAAUAUAUUGAAUGGCAUCAUUUGAUAUUGAAAACUCCGGUGGAUAGAGAUGGGCACGCGCAAGAUUAGAUAGUUGGUAGGGUAACGGCCUACCAAGUCAGUGAUCUUUAGGGGGCCUGAGAGGGUGAUCCCCCACACUGGUACUGAGACACGGACCAGACUCCUACGGGAGGCAGCAGUGAGGAAUAUUGGACAAUGGGUGAGAGCCUGAUCCAGCCAUCCCGCGUGAAGGACGACGGCCCUAUGGGUUGUAAACUUCUUUUGUAUAGGGAUAAACCUAGAUACGUGUAUCUAGCUGAAGGUACUAUACGAAUAAGCACCGGCUAACUCCGUGCCAGCAGCCGCGGUAAUACGGAGGGUGCAAGCGUUAUCCGGAUUUAUUGGGUUUAAAGGGUCCGUAGGCGGAUCUGUAAGUCAGUGGUGAAAUCUCAUAGCUUAACUAUGAAACUGCCAUUGAUACUGCAGGUCUUGAGUAAGGUAGAAGUAGCUGGAAUAAGUAGUGUAGCGGUGAAAUGCAUAGAUAUUACUUAGAACACCAAUUGCGAAGGCAGGUUACUAUGUCUUAACUGACGCUGAUGGACGAAAGCGUGGGGAGCGAACAGGAUUAGAUACCCUGGUAGUCCACGCCGUAAACGAUGCUAACUCGUUUUUGGGUUUUCGGAUUCAGAGACUAAGCGAAAGUGAUAAGUUAGCCACCUGGGGAGUACGUUCGCAAGAAUGAAACUCAAAGGAAUUGACGGGGGCCCGCACAAGCGGUGGAUUAUGUGGUUUAAUUCGAUGAUACGCGAGGAACCUUACCAAGACUUAAAUGGGAAAUGACAGAUUUAGAAAUAGAUCCUUCUUCGGACAUUUUUCAAGGUGCUGCAUGGUUGUCGUCAGCUCGUGCCGUGAGGUGUUAGGUUAAGUCCUGCAACGAGCGCAACCCCUGUCACUAGUUGCCAUCAUUGAGUUGGGGACUCUAGUGAGACUGCCUACGCAAGUAGAGAGGAAGGUGGGGAUGACGUCAAAUCAUCACGGCCCUUACGUCUUGGGCCACACACGUAAUACAAUGGCCGGUACAGAGGGCAGCUACACAGCGAUGUGAUGCAAAUCUCGAAAGCCGGUCUCAGUUCGGAUUGGAGUCUGCAACUCGACUCUAUGAAGCUGGAAUCGCUAGUAAUCGCGCAUCAGCCAUGGCGCGGUGAAUACGUUCCCGGGCCUUGUACACACCGCCCGUCAAGCCAUGGAAGUCUGGGGUACCUGAAGUCGGUGACCGUAACAGGAGCUGCCUAGGGUAAAACAGGUAACUAGGGCUAAGUCG